Molecule: ribosomal RNA, 1548 nt
Filed under: Gracilariopsis chorda
Lineage: Eukaryota; Rhodophyta; Florideophyceae; Gracilariales; Gracilariaceae
Description: bacterial SSU rRNA
Rfam family: Eukaryotic small subunit ribosomal RNA
Source: RNAcentral
AAUAAGUUCCUCCCGAGCGACGUAAAGAAUGUUGUAAAUUAGAGAUGCAAGCCAGUACUUUUAGUAAUUGUAGAUAUUUUCUGAUCGCACUAGUUGUGACGCACCGUUCAAAUUUCUGGCCUAUCAACUUUUGAUGGUAAGGUAUUGGGUUACCAUGUUUCUGAUGGGUAAUGGAUAAUAGGUGCGGUAUCUCGGAGAGGCAGCCUCAGAAAUGUCUACCACAUCCAAGGAAGACAGCACGCGCACAACGUACCCAAUCUGGACACCGGGGGGUAGUCACAAGAAAUAUCAAUAGAAGGCCCCGUGGGUUUUCUAGUUGGAAUGAGGAAAAGGUAAAGAGCUUAUCGAGGAACCAGCACAGGGCGAGUCUUAUGCCAGCAGCCGCGGUAAUUCCACAUCUGUAGGCGUAUACCAAAGUUGUUGCAGUUAAAACGCUCAUAGUCGGAUACUGGCGUGUGACCUUGGUCGUUCUUGUGUGCGUUUUAAGGUUGUGCGACUCUGUAGAGGGUGGUAUAAUGGUGCUGAAUUGGAUUUCCAGGCUGCUGGCACUAUUUACUAUGAAACACUUAGAAUGUUCAAAGCAGGCGAUUGCCCCGAUUACAUUAGUAUGGAAUAAUAGAAUAGGACCUGGUCCUGUUUUGUUGGUUUGUUUGAGUCGUGGAUUGGUUAAAAAGAGCGGUUGAGGGCAUUCGUGUUCCGACGCUGGAGGUGAAAUUCUUGGAUUUUCGGAAGAUGAACAGCUGCAAAAGCCACUACCAAGGACGUUUUCAUUGAUCAACAACGAACGCAAAGGGCUCGGAGACCAGCAGAUACCGUUUUAGUUUUUGCUCUAAGCAAUGAGGACUGGAGAUGAGAUGAGACUGACUUAUGGCUCACCCGGCAUCCUUCAAUAAAACAAAGUGUUUGAUCUCUGGGAGGAGUAUGGUUGUAAGGCUGAAAAUUAAGGGAAUUCACGAAAGGGCACCGCUGGGUGUGGAACCUGGGGCUUAGUUUACCUCAACACGGGAAAUUCGCAAAUACAGUGCAGGCUACUAAAAAGACUUGCCUCUCUUCUUUCAGAUAUGAACGGGCGAGAGCUUGGCUUUUAUUGACUUUGGCUCUUUGCCGAGAUCGUCAGAUGGCUAUUUUCAUCCCUUUGUAAGAACUGUCGGGCCAUGCACGCCAUUCAUGCACGUUCACGUGGACAGCCUCGACAAGUAGCCUCGCGAAACGACGCCAUGAGCAGCUAUAUCUACAGGCUGACUCCUGCUUCUUCCCUCACACACAUCCCGCCUUGCUCUCACACACAUCGCGCCUAGAUCUCACACAUAUCCAGCCUUGUUCUCACUCAUACCCAACCGUGCUAUGAGUUGGCUCUCCGCGCCUGUUUCUUCAACAAACGCUGAUGCAUUGUCUUUCCCGUGCGCCCAACCACCGCGUUUUGCGCCAAGUGCACAUCCAAUCACGGUGCAUGGCUUGGCUUGCACAUUUGCUUCUUAGUGCCUUCCUCUUCUGAGAAUCUGAUUCUCGUCUUCUUGUUCUUCACGUUUUCUCUCUUAUUUCUCUUUC